Plectropomus leopardus (leopard coralgrouper) is the source of this 294-nucleotide non-coding RNA. Lineage: Eukaryota; Metazoa; Chordata; Actinopteri; Perciformes; Serranidae. The record is from RefSeq and is a predicted model, not a curated record.
CAUGGAUGCAAACUGGAGUCCUUCCACUUUAUUGGGGUCAGUCUUGGGGCCCACGUGGCUGGUUUUGUGGGGACCCUGUUUGAGGGAAAGAUAGGAAGAAUCACAGCUCUUGACCCUGCUGGUCCCAUGUUCAAAGGAGCGGACACAUAUGACCGGCUGGACCCCUCUGACGCUCAGUUUGUUGACGCCAUCCACACGGACUCUGACUAUUUUGGUAUUUCCAUCCCUGUCGGUCAUGUGGACUUCUUUCUAAAUGGAGGAAAAGACCAGACUGGAUGUGCUCGCUCCAGGUUC